RNAcentral lists this long non-coding RNA (2864 nucleotides) under Capra hircus (goat). RNAcentral describes it as "lncRNA (ENSCHIG00010005672.1)". Lineage: Eukaryota; Metazoa; Chordata; Mammalia; Artiodactyla; Bovidae. The record is from RNAcentral.
AAUGCUCCCACACUGAUAUUAAUGGUGUCCUCAGAGUCUGACCAGUUUGUGAAUAAGGCCACAGCCCUUCCCCUUCUGAUUUGCUCUUGUUGUUUGUUUGUUGUUUUAAUUUUCUAUUGUAGGAUAAUUGCUUUACAAUAUCGUGCUAGUUUCUGCCAUACAUCAGCAUGAAUAUUGUUCGAUUUUAAUUGCAUUAGUCCAAGGGGUGAAGUUCUGGUCAGGGAGACUUUCUGGAUCGCUUCCAGAGGUCAGUGCAGAAGCCCUGCUGACUGCCAUGCUGAGGACCAGCUGGGCCAGAGAGUGGCCACUGUGCCCUAGGGCAAGGGCUUCGCUGACCUGGCCAAGCUGUCCACAAGAAGGUGCUUAAAGAUGCUGUGUCUUCUGCUUUCUCCUAAGGCCAGGUUGGUAAGGCUCUCUAGAGAGACAGGAAGGAUAAACAUGUCUUCCUCCNNNNNNNNNNAAGAGGAAGACAUGUUUAUCCUUCCUGUCUCUCUAGAGAGCCUUACCAAGCUGGCCUUACGAGAAAGCAGAAGACACAGCUUGGCUAGGACAGUGAAGCCCUUGGACAAGCCCCUCCUGGCCCUUCUCAUGAAUUAUAAAGUUUUUGCUAGGAGAGAUAAUAGGAAUUAGAUGCCCUUAUUUUCUUUGUUAAUAUUCUCUUUAGAAUUCCCUGGUGGUCUGUGGUUAGGACUCCACGCUUCCACUGCAGGGGACACAGGCUUCAUCCCUGGUCAAGGAACUAAGAUCCCAAAUGCCACAUGGCCAAAAAUAAAUAAAUAAUAAAAGUAUUUAAAAAAUAAUGAUUUNNNNNNNNNNNNNNNNNNNNNNNNNNNNNNNNNNNNNNNNNNNNNNNNNNNNNNNNNNNNNNNNNNNNNNNNNNNNNNNNNNNNNNNNNNNNNNNNNNNUUAAAAAAUAAUGAUUUUCUCUUUACCCUUCUUUCCUUUAUCAUUCAUCCUUUACCACAUUUGAUGUAUGGCUUCUAGAAAUUUUUUAAUUUUAAUUUUAUAAAUUAAAUUAAUUUUUAAUUUAAAAAUUAAAAUUUUUAAUUUUUAAAAUUAAAAAAAUUUCUAAAACUAUUUUUUCUCCUUAAUAUAAUUUAUGCUUUUAUAGUUUUUCUCUUCUUUCUAUGUCUUAUGUUCUUAGGUACUUGUUAUAAAAACGAUAACUCGGUAAUUACCCAUUGAAUUGCUGAAAGGCAUAGGACUGUGAGAAACGAGGCAGCUGGAUGUUUCAUUAAUGAUAAGGUUCUGAGGCAGGAAAUAUGNNNNNNNNNNNNNNNNNNNNNNNNNNNNNNNNNCCUGGCUACAAAUUAAGCUUCAGUUGGGGAGAAGUGGAUGUGGGGAAACCUGGGAAAAUAUAGUCUUGGGAAAGAAUAUGGAGUCACAGGAAGUACCAGAAAGAUAAGGACCGAUUCUAAUGAGUUAAUAAAAUUCCAGAGGACACCCAUGGUGUUUUUAAACCCUGCUCUGUGUCUGUUAUGUCUGAAAAGAGAAACAAGCACAAUGUGAAGGCCACUGGGCAGACCCUUGCAAGGGAAUUGUCAUCAGUCACAGUGGUUGUGCACCACACCUGGAAUGAUUUCUUAUUUCUUAUCAAGGUCUCCCUGAUUUUGUGGCUUCCCAGGGGGCUCAGCAGUAAAUAACCUACUUGCCCACAUAUGAAGCACAAGAUACUUGUGUUUGAUCCCUGACUUGGGAAGAUUCUCUGGAGAAGGAAAUGGCAACCCGUUCCAGGAUUCUUGGCUGGGAAGUCCCAUGGACAGAAGGAGCCUGGUGGGGGCUAUAGUCCACGGGGGUCGCAAGAAGUCCAAUGUGACUGAGCUUCUGAGCACAUUCUUUGGAGAUUGGUUCAGAGCUGUAUAAGAAAACUUUACUCUCCUCCCUUUUUUUUCCUUUAACAAACUGCUCAAGGUUUUACUUUAUGGAUUUAUUACAAGUCACAUGACCAGUUAGUUAUUCGUGAUGGAUAUUCUUGACGGGCUGCUUCCAGUCUUCUGCUAACAUGAAGAGUGCAACAGUGAGGAGUCUCCUAAGCACAUGAUUUUGCACAUGUAUGUUCAGGUAUUUAAGAGAAAUUUCCAGAAGAGAGAUUGUUGCAUCAAAGACAUUGUUGUGUAUUUGUAAUUUUAAUAAAUAUUACCAAACUUCUUUUCAUAAAGUCUGUGUCAAUUUCACCUCCGUGGUAAUGUAUGAAAGUACCUGAAUUUUCCAAACUCUAACACCAUUUCAUAUUAUUUUUAGUAUUUGUCAAAUUUAUAGGUAAGAAAUGGUAUAUCAGUGGCUUUAUUUUUAUUUCUUCUUGGUAUGAAUGGCAUUGAGCUUAUUUACUAAUGUUUAAGAACCAUUUAUAUUUUCUUUUCUGUAAACUAUUUUAUCCUAUUGUUAGUAUUUUUCUUUUUUCUUUCAGCACUUGAAAUAUUUUAUUCCACUCUUUUCUUGCUUGCAUAGUUUCCGAAGAGAAGUCCGAUGUAAUUCUUACUCUUGUUCCUCUAUAGGCAAGAUUUUUUAUCCCCUUUCUGGCCACUUGCAAGAUUUUCUCUUUGUCCUUGUUUGUCUACAUUGUAGACAUGGAAUAUGAUAUGAAGAACAUGGGAUACAGCAUAGAUUUUUUUGGUAUUUAUCCUACUUGGUAUCUAUGAGCUUUUUAGAUCUGUGGCUUAGAAUCUGUCAUUAAUUUUGGAAACUUCUCAACUAUUAUCAUUUCAAAUAUUUCUUCUUCUUCUUAUCUUCCCAUUACAUAUAUGUUACACCUUUCAUAAUUGUCCCACAGUUAUUGGAUAUUCUGUUCCAUUUGUUUCAUCUUUGCAUUUCUGCUUGAGAAACCUCUAUUAACAUAUUAUUAAACUCACUUGUUCUUUCCUUGGC